This 1525-nucleotide long non-coding RNA is filed under the name Apteryx owenii (little spotted kiwi). Its description in RNAcentral is "lncRNA (ENSAOWG00000005012.1)". Lineage: Eukaryota; Metazoa; Chordata; Aves; Apterygiformes; Apterygidae. The record is from RNAcentral.
CUCAGCCGCUUUGCUCCUGAGAGUCCUCCCAAGAAAGAGGCUUCGUUGCUCGCAGAAAGCUUGGCGUCAGGCAUGUGGCUGCUGCUGAGCUCUCGCCGCUCCCUGAGGCAUCGCCAAGUCCCGCUUGGUGGCUUGUUAAAGGUCAGGCAAUCAGGGCCAGCGAGGAUUCACGGCAGCCAAGAGAUGAAUCUCCCUGCUACCUCUGGAGCCAGGAUUUGGUUGCUGGAGAGCGAGGGGAAAGCUAAAAUAAUACAUUUCCACUUGUGUUGCAUACGCGCUCAUCUCCACCAGUUCCACUGCGGCGUAUUUUGUUGCAGGGGGGAAAAAAMCAAAACGAAACAAUAAAGCGCUAGUCUCUGGCUGCUCCGUAUUCGCCAGCGCUGGAACAAGGCGAUUACAAGGCAGGGAAACUGCAAAUUGGUGACCGCGGGACAGUCAGAAAGAUGGGAAGUGAGCCACGCACUUGCUUGCUGUAAAAGUCUUAGUCUGAAACACACCCUGCUUUAUGAGGAGAGAAAAAGCUCUCUGCUUUCACUUGGCCCUAUGACACAAUGCACGAAGAACGGCUACAUSCUUGCCGCAAUAAAUUGUUUACGUUUUGUUUUGGAAACAGAUGCGCAGGGCUCGAUGCACCCAGGGACUGGCCUCUUUGGCUAUAGCCGCUCGCAGCUAAAUCUGGAACAAGGACGGAAACCUCUAAGGUGUGCGGAAGAAAUGCCUAAAACGGCUCGGUGCGCCCGGAUAUCGUGAAGGACCCAGCGCCCGCUCAACCGCGGACGAAAGCGAGACCCAGCCGGCUCACCCCGAGCRUUGCCCAUGCUUGCCUGGCUGGCGAUAAACUCGAUACCUGCUGGAGCUUAGGGAAGCUGUAGGGGAGAGCUGGCAGCGGAGCUCUGCAGCGGUCCAGAUGGCCAUCUGCAACGUGGGAAACGGGACAGGCUGCUCACCGCGAACCAAACAGCAUUUCGCUGCCAACUGGAAGGCUGAAACACAACGGUUUUACCGCCUAAAUAUUUUAAGCCCAACUUGCAAAUGGAGCAGUUUUGCUUCUCGCCAAUGCAAGCGGCAUCGAGCCGGCUGCGUUUGGGCUGGAGGAGAGCCGGCCGGGCAGCGCCGCGCGGAGAUGAGCCCAGCACCGGCAAGCUGGGGCGGCGAGAGGAGUUCGCGGAGAGCAAACAGCAGCUUCUCCGGUAAGCCGGCGCACCGCGACUGGCAGGAGCGGAGCGACUUAAUCUUUGCAGAAAACUCUCAGCGCCACUGUGCAGCAGCACGGUCCAUCCCAGCACCACAGUCUCUUCUCAGGCGUAGCAUUAAUGGAGAAGGGGGGGGGGGUCUCUCUUCUGAAGCUUUGGAAAUUUUCCUGUCCUUGAGGCCUCAAAAAUCAGCCAACAGCCUCGAGAGGCAUUUGGGAAGGGCAGCCACGCAGCCAGCCCCCGAGCAACGCCGGGAGCAGGGCCCGGUGAUGGCAGCUGCCUCCUGGGAGGUGAGUCCAGUUGCCCCGGGCGGCCCAGAGGAUGGGGCCRAA